GACGAACGCUGGCGGCGUGCUUAACACAUGCAAGUCGAACGGAAAGGCCCUGCUUUUGUGGGGUGCUCGAGUGGCGAACGGGUGAGUAACACGUGAGUAACCUGCCCUUGACUUUGGGAUAACUUCAGGAAACUGGGGCUAAUACCGGAUAGGAGCUCCUGCUGCAUGGUGGGGGGUGGAAAGUUUCGGCGGUUGGGGAUGGACUCGCGGCUUAUCAGCUUGUUGGUGGGGUAGUGGCUUACCAAGGCUUUGACGGGUAGCCGGCCUGUGAGGGUGACCGGCCACAUUGGGACUGAGAUACGGCCCAGACUCCUACGGGAGGCAGCAGUGGGGAAUAUUGCACAAUGGGCGGAAGCCUGAUGCAGCAACGCCGCGUGCGGGAUGACGGCCUUCGGGUUGUAAACCGCUUUCGCCUGUGACGAAGCGUGAGUGACGGUAAUGGGUAAAGAAGCACCGGCUAACUACGUG
This 468-nucleotide ribosomal RNA is filed under the name uncultured bacterium. RNAcentral's name for it is "partial 16S ribosomal RNA". It matches the Rfam family "Bacterial small subunit ribosomal RNA", at positions 28 to 507 of the family's 1533-position model. The record is from RNAcentral.